CGGACGGGUGAGUAACACGUGGGUAACCUACCUAUAAGACUGGGACAACUUCGGGAAACCGGAGCUAAUACCGGAUAAGAUAUCGGACCGCAUGGUUCGAUAGUGAAAGAUGGUUUUGCUAUCACUUAUAGAUGGACCCGCGCCGUAUUAGCUAGUUGGUGAGGUAACGGCUCACCAAGGCAACGAUACGUAGCCGACCUGAGAGGGUGAUCGGCCACACUGGAACUGAGACACGGUCCAGACUCCUACGGGAGGCAGCAGCU
Molecule: ribosomal RNA, 263 nt
Filed under: uncultured Staphylococcus sp.
Lineage: Bacteria; Bacillati; Bacillota; Bacilli; Caryophanales; Staphylococcaceae
Description: partial 16S ribosomal RNA
Rfam family: Bacterial small subunit ribosomal RNA
Source: RNAcentral